RNAcentral lists this long non-coding RNA (1648 nucleotides) under Sus scrofa (pig). RNAcentral describes it as "lncRNA (ENSSSCG00000043708.1, ENSSSCG00025020014.1, ENSSSCG00060054169.1)". Lineage: Eukaryota; Metazoa; Chordata; Mammalia; Artiodactyla; Suidae. The record is from RNAcentral.
UUGGAAGAUGACUGUGCUUUUCAUCAUGUCUUUAUUGCUGUCUAACACAUUGCAGAAUUAUCAGAUUACGUGUUAACUUCCUAUGUUUUAUAACUAAAUUGAAAGCUCCAUAAGAACAAAAGCUUUUCAUACUUUGCUUAUUGCUAUUUAUAGAGCCUACAAUCAUUGCUGAUGUAGGUACUUAUAGAUACUAGUGGAAUAAAUGUGUGACUCAUGAAUGAAUAUAAAUUACAUCAAAGGUAGCUGCUAUUACUGAAGUAAGGGACAAGAAGGAUAAGGAGCACCUGGAAUACAUUCAUCCUCACAAGACACAGCUGUUACACAACUUUCUGAGAACUGGAAAAAAUACAAAAUAGCAAUAUGGAUUUUCAAAUACUUUGUUGACACUUCUGUUAAACACACUUCUUAGUUACAAGUCAAAUAGAUUUCAUCCCUGUCCUUCAGAACUAGUUUAAAAACAUGGAUAACUCAGUAUCCAAGGUGAAUGGGAAAGCUUUCCAAAAUAUUCAUUCCUGAUCUCUAAUUGCCAAAGCCAGGCGCAGUAACCAGUUACUUACAAAUUUUGUAUUUGAUAGUUACAGUUUAGGCAACAAUAUUAAUGACACCAAAAGUAGAAAUUCCAUGCAUAAUUAUUUUAAAUAGAAGAGAUAGCAAGAUGUUAGUAAUUUAGAAGAAUGAAAUAACUCUACAUAAUGAUAAUGUAAAAAUACUUAUUAGAAGUAGGAAUUAUAUCAUUAAAUAGAGUCAGAUAUCUGUGCAAGAGUUACUGAAGCCACCUUGAAUUCAUACACUAACUUUCAAUAUCAGAAUGUUUAAAAAUCAUUUGAAAUAGAAGGGACCCAACUUUUCCAUUUUAAAGACGUAAAAAUCUCCCAGGAAUGUGAAUGGUCAGUAAUAUCAUUGGGAAAAAUCAUAUUACAAUAAUGCAAUAGCUUUAUGAAUUUCUAUAAAUUUAAAGUGACUGUCAUAAAUUAUUCCCUGACUUCAGAUUAUAAUAUCAAGCUACAGUCACCAAACCAGUAUGGUACUGACACAUAAAACAGAACUAUAGAUUAAUGGAACAGGAUAGAAAGUGCAAAAAUAAACCCACAUACCUAUGGUCAAUUAAUCUAUGACAAGGAAGACAAGAAUAUACAGUGGAAAAAAUGACAGUGUCUUCAAUAAGUGGUAUAGGGAAAACUGGAUGGCUACAUGUAAAAGAAUGAAGUUAGAGCUUUCUAUAACACCAUACACAAAAAUGAACUCAAAAUGGAUUAAAUACUUGGAUGUAAGACUGGAUACUAUAAAACUCUUAGAGGGAAACAUACUCAGAACAUUGUCAAAAGUUGCAACAAUAUCAUUUCCAGUGAUUGACCUGUUCAGUUGACCUAUUUCUUCUUGAUUCAUUUUUGGCAGGCUGUAAGUCUCUAGAAAGUUGUUCAUUUCUUCUAGGUUGUCAAAUUUGUCGGCAUAGAAAUGAAAUUGAAUAUAUCAUAAAAACACUCCCUACAAAUAAAAGUCAAGGACCAGAUGGUUUCACAGGUGAAUUCUACCAAACAUACAAAGAGGAACUUAUACCCAUCCUCCUUAAACUUUUUCAAAAGGUUGAAGAAGGAAUGCUCCCAAAGACAUUCUAUGAUGCCACCAUCACCCUAAUUCCAAAACCAGA